CAGCAGCCGCGGUAACACGUAGGUGGCAAGCGUUGUCCGGAAUUAUUGGGCGUAAAGGGCUCGCAGGCGGUUUCUUAAGUCUGAUGUGAAAGCCCCCGGCUCAACCGGGGAGGGUCAUUGGAAACUGGGAAACUUGAGUGCAGAAGAGGAGAGUGGAAUUCCACGUGUAGCGGUGAAAUGCGUAGAGAUGUGGAGGAACACCAGUGGCGGAGGCGACUCUCUGGUCUGUAACUGACGCUGAGGAGCGAAAGCGUGGGGAGCGAACAGGAUUAGAUACCCGAGUAGUCCCUGUCUCUUAUAC
This 301-nucleotide ribosomal RNA is filed under the name uncultured bacterium. RNAcentral describes it as "partial 16S ribosomal RNA". It matches the Rfam family "Bacterial small subunit ribosomal RNA", at positions 509 to 807 of the family's 1533-position model. The record is from RNAcentral.